GAAAUGCGAUACUUGGUGUGAAUUGCAGAAUUCAGUGAAUCAUCGAAUCUUUGAACGCACAUUGCGCCCGCCAGCAUUCUGGCGGGCAUGCCUGUUCGAGCGUCAUUUCAACCCUCGAGCCCGACUCUUUUGAGGACGGCUCGGCGUUGGGGGACGGCAGACUCCCCCCGGCAUCUCGCCGGGGACGCCGCCCCCGAAAUCUAGUGGCGGCCCUCCGAGGCGACCUCUGCGUAGUAACUUGUUCUCGCACCGGAAAGCUCAGAGCGGCCACGCCGUAAAACCCCCCAACUUUUUAUAGUUGACCUCGAAUCAGGUAGGACUACCCGCUGAACUUAA
Molecule: unclassified non-coding RNA, 336 nt
Filed under: uncultured Verticillium
Lineage: Eukaryota; Fungi; Ascomycota; Sordariomycetes; Hypocreales
Description: sequence contains ITS1
Rfam family: 5.8S ribosomal RNA (bases 1-105)
Source: RNAcentral